GAUGAACGCUGGCGGCGUGCCUAAUGCAUGCAAGUCGAGCGAACGGACGAGAAGCUUGCUUCUCUGAUGUUAGCGGCGGACGGGUGAGUAACACGUGGAUAACCUACCUAUAAGACUGGGAUAACUUCGGGAAACCGGAGCUAAUACCGGAUAAUAUUUUGAACCGCAUGGUUCAAAAGUGAAAGACGGUCUUGCUGUCGCUUAUAGAUGGAUCCGCGCUGCAUUAGCUAGUUGGUAAGGUAACGGCUUACCAAGGCAACGAUGCAUAGCCGACCUGAGAGGGUGAUCGGCCACACUGGAACUGAGACACGGUCCAGACUCCUACGGGAGGCAGCAGUAGGGAAUCUUCCGCAAUGGGCGAAAGCCUGACGGAGCAACGCCGCGUGAGUGAUGAAGGUCCUCGGAUCGUAAAACUCUGUUAUUAGGGAAGAACAUAUGUGUAAGUAACUGUGCACAUCUUGACGGUACCUAAUCAGAAAGCCACGGCUAACUACGUG
Molecule: ribosomal RNA, 497 nt
Filed under: uncultured bacterium
Lineage: Bacteria
Description: partial 16S ribosomal RNA
Rfam family: Bacterial small subunit ribosomal RNA
Source: RNAcentral